RNAcentral lists this ribosomal RNA (357 nucleotides) under Salmonella enterica subsp. enterica serovar Agona str. SA-1. RNAcentral's name for it is "bacterial SSU rRNA". It matches the Rfam family "Bacterial small subunit ribosomal RNA", at positions 1 to 354 of the family's 1533-position model. Lineage: Bacteria; Pseudomonadati; Pseudomonadota; Gammaproteobacteria; Enterobacterales; Enterobacteriaceae. The record is from RNAcentral.
AAAUUGAAGAGUUUGAUCAUGGCUCAGAUUGAACGCUGGCGGCAGGCCUAACACAUGCAAGUCGAACGGUAACAGGAAGCAGCUUGCUGCUUCGCUGACGAGUGGCGGACGGGUGAGUAAUGUCUGGGAAACUGCCUGAUGGAGGGGGAUAACUACUGGAAACGGUGGCUAAUACCGCAUAACGUCGCAAGACCAAAGAGGGGGACCUUCGGGCCUCUUGCCAUCAGAUGUGCCCAGAUGGGAUUAGCUUGUUGGUGAGGUAACGGCUCACCAAGGCGACGAUCCCUAGCUGGUCUGAGAGGAUGACCAGCCACACUGGAACUGAGACACGGUCCAGACUCCUACGGGAGGCAGCAG